ACGCUCGACACCUACGGGAGGCAGCAGUGGGGAAUAUUGCACAAUGGGGGAAACCCUGAUGCAGCGACGCCGCGUGAGUGAAGAAGUAUUUCGGUAUGUAAAGCUCUAUCAGCAGGGAAGAAGAUGACGGUACCUGAGUAAGAAGCCCCGGCUAACUACGUGCCAACAGCCGCGGUAAUCUGAGGCGGGCGUGGCAAGGC
This 200-nucleotide ribosomal RNA is filed under the name uncultured bacterium. Its description in RNAcentral is "partial 16S ribosomal RNA". It matches the Rfam family "Bacterial small subunit ribosomal RNA", at positions 328 to 538 of the family's 1533-position model. The record is from RNAcentral.